Molecule: ribosomal RNA, 253 nt
Filed under: uncultured bacterium
Lineage: Bacteria
Description: partial 16S ribosomal RNA
Rfam family: Bacterial small subunit ribosomal RNA
Source: RNAcentral
GACGCACCGUGCGAACGUUAUUCGGAAUCACUGGGCUUAAAGGGUGCGUAGGCGGUUUGCCAAGUCUGUGGUGAAAUCCUCCGGCUUAACCGGAGAACUGCCGUGGAUACUGGCGACCUCGAGGGGUGUAGGGGCUUGCGGAACUGUGCGUGGAGCGGUGAAAUGCGUUGAUAUGCACAGGAACUCCGGUGGCGAAAGCGGCGAGCUGGACACCUUCUGACGCUGAGGCACGAAAGCCAGGGGAGCGAACGGG